Small nucleolar RNA from Gossypium raimondii (Peruvian cotton), 106 nucleotides. It matches the Rfam family "Plant small nucleolar RNA R71". Rfam says of the family: R71 is a member of the C/D box family of snoRNAs containing the C (UGAUGA) and D (CUGA) box motifs. Multiple nearly identical copies of this snoRNA have been identified in Arabidopsis, and it is thought to function as a 2'-O-ribose methylation guide for 18S ribosomal RNA. The record is from Rfam. Lineage: Eukaryota; Viridiplantae; Streptophyta; Magnoliopsida; Malvales; Malvaceae.
AACCUGUGAUGUUGGCACUUCCUUAGUAUUGUCCUGAAAUGUUUCCAUGCCUUGUACAAGGAUUCACCUUCAUAUUGUUUAAAAUUGGUGAUUUUUUGCCUAAGCU